This 372-nucleotide ribosomal RNA is filed under the name uncultured organism. RNAcentral describes it as "bacterial SSU rRNA". It matches the Rfam family "Bacterial small subunit ribosomal RNA", at positions 526 to 896 of the family's 1533-position model. The record is from RNAcentral.
CGUAGGAUGCAAGCGUUGUCCGGAUUUACUGGGCGUAAAGCGCGCGCAGGCGGCAUACCAAGUAUUCAGUGAAAUCUCCUUGCUCAACGGGGAGGGUGCUGAGUAGACUGGUAAGCUAGAGGACGGUAGAGGGGGGUAGAAUUGCUGGUGUAGCGGUGAAAUGCGUAGAGAUCAGCAGGAAUACCCGUGGCGAAGGCGACCCCCUGGGCCGUUUCUGACGCUGAGGCGCGAAGGCUAGGGGAGCGAACGGGAUUAGAUACCCCGAUAGUCCUAGCAGUAAACGAUGGCCACUAGGUGUGAGGGGUGUUGACCCCCCUUGUGCCGAAGCUAACGCAUUAAGUGGCCCGCCUGGGGAGUACGGUCGCAAGACUA